AUUAUUAUUAACCCUAGUCAGAGGGGUUACAUGAAAAGAAUGUGUGGCAAAUGGGAACGGAGAAACCCACAUUCAAGACUGACUGCGAAGCAACUAGUAGCUCAGUGUUCCAACAUCCAAAAACGGCAACUGCUAUCACAACUUGAGAUUGACGAGAUACAACACAAAUGCUACGGCAAGGGGGAGCCAGGACGCCAGGUCAGAGGGGAGGUUUCACCAUCUCCCCAACCGGAAAUUGGGUACGAAGCCCCAAUAAGCACAGAUACGCUGAGCGAGGCAGCGACAAACCUGAAAGAUAAGAUCAUGGCGGGAUUGAACAGGCAACCCCGAACCCCACUACAACGGCUAAGUGAAGUACCAUCAGAAAGUCUCAUGGAAGAUGUGAAUGCAGCAUUGAGAGUGAUCCCUACCACAACUGUCACAGAAACCAAUGAGCUGAUAUACGCUUCAGCAUCAGUGAUCCUAGAGGUGCUUGGCUAUAAGAGCAACCAUGGGAGCCAUGAGAAACAAUACCCACCAUGGAAACGAAGGUUGGAGGCAAAAAUCAAGGCAGCUCGGAGGGAAGUGAGCCAAAUGACAGGCCCAGAGAGGUGCAAUGAAAAGACCGAUGCCCAAGAGGUACAGCCAGAUGACCAUACCUGAAGCACUCGAAACUGGCAAGCAAAGGCUACAAGCCUUGGCCAGCCGCCUAAAGAGAUACACCAGAGAUAACGAAGCCAGACGAAUAAACCGGCUGUUCGCAACACAACCUGCGAAAGUGUACUCUCAAUGGCAGGGUAAUAACAGCAGAGCAGACCCACCAAGGCUGGAAACUGAACAGUACUGGAAAGGCAUAUGGGAAAGAGAGGCGUCACACAACAGCAAUGCACAGUGGCUGGUGGAUCUGAGGGAAGACCACAGUAACCUCCCUGAACAGAACCCAGUGACUAUCACAGUGGCAGACAUCCAACAUAGAGUCUCAGGUAUGAAAAACUGGACAGCACCCGGCCCUGACAUGAUCCACGCCUACUGGCUAAAGAAGCUCACUGCAAUCCAUGAGCGCCUGGCAGCACAAAUGAACCAGCUGCUAAGGGAUGGGACUCACCCUGAAUGGCUAACCGAAGGGCGAACGAUCCUGAUAAUGAAGGAUCCCUCAAAGGGUACAGUCCCAUCCAACUACCGGCCAAUAACCUGUCUCUCCACAACAUGGAAACUCAUGUCAGGCAUCAUCGCAGCUAAGAUAAGUGGGCACAUGGGUCAAUACAUGAGCGAAGCACAGAAGGGCAUUAGUAAGGAUACCAGAGGGGCCAAACACCAACUCCUGCUAGACAGAACAGUCGCCCAAGACUGCAGAAUGCGACACACCAACCUGUGCACAGCCUGGAUCGACUACAAGAAAGCCUAUGACUCAAUGCCACACACAUGGAUCACUGAAUGCUUGGAGCUGUACAACAUCAACAGAACUCUAAGGGCCUUCAUUGCAAACUCGAUGAGGUUGUGGAGAACCACCCUUGAAGCCAAUGGGAAGCCACUUGCCCAAGUAUCCAUCAAAUGUGGCAUAUACCAAGGAGAUGCACUGUCCCCACUGCUGUUCUGCAUAGGUCUGAACCCCCUCAGCCAAAUAAUAAACAAGACUGGCUAUGGAUACCGACUCCGGAACGGGGCCACCAUAAGUCACCUCCUCUACAUGGAUGACAUGUACAUGAUGACAUGACAUGUACAAGCUGUACGCCAAGAAUGAGCGAGACAUCGACUCACUGAUCCACACCACCAGGAUCUACAGCUCGGACAUCGGGAUGUCAUUCGGGCUCGAGAAAUGUGGGAGGAUGGUGACAAAGAGAGGCAAGGUAAUCCACACAGAAGGGGUCUCACUCCCAGAAGGAACAAUAGCAGACAUUGAGGACAGUUACAAGUACCUUGGAAUACCACAGGCAAACGGCAACCUUGAACAGGCAACAAGGAAUGCGGCAACAGCCAAAUACCUCCAACGAGUAAGGCAAGUCCUAAGAAGCCAGCUCAAUGGCAAGAACAAAUCCCAGGCAAUAAACAGCUACACCCUGCCAGUGAUCAGAUACCCUGCGGGAAUAAUAAGGUGGCCAAAGGAAGAGAUACAGACCACAGAUGUUAAGACACGAAAGCUCCUCACCAUGCAUGGAGGGUUCCACCCCAAAUCCAGCACCCUGAGACUGUACGCUAGCCGCAAGGAAGGAGGCCGAGGACUAGUGAGCGUGAGAGCCACUAUCCGGGAUGAAACAUCCAAGAUCCAUAAGUACAUCAAGGAUAAGGCCCCGACAGAUGACGUGCUGAGUGAAUGUCUCAGGCAGUGGAGAACAGAGGAUGAGAUGCUGGAAGAGGGACCAUCAUGGGAGGACAAGCCCUUACACGGGAUGUACCACCGGAACAUAACUGAAGUGGCUGAUCUCAACAAAUCCUACCAAUGGCUUGAAAGGGCUGGGCUGAAGGACAGCACAGAGGCACUCAUCCUGGCCGCACAGGAGCAGGCCCUGAGCACCAGAGCCAUAGAGGCCCAGAUCUACCACACCAGACAAGACCCAAGGUGUAGACUGUGCAAAGAGGCCCCUGAGACGGUCCAGCACAUAACUGCAGGAUGUAAGAUGCUGGCAGGGAAAGCAUACAUGGAACGCCAUAACCAAGUGGCUGGCAUAGUAUACAGGAACAUCUGCGCAGAGUAUGGACUGGAAACCCCAAGGUCAAAGUGGGAAACACCUCCCAAGGUGGUAGAGAACGAGCGAGCCAAGAUCCUGUGGGACUUCCAGAUACAGACAGACAGAAUGGUAAUGGCGAACCAACCAGACAUUGUGGUGGUGGACAAAGAACAGAGGAAAGCCGUAGUGGUGGAUGUAGCAAUACCAAGCGAUGGCAACAUCAGGAAAAAGGAACAUGAGAAACUAGAGAAAUACCAAGGGCUCAGAGAAGAACUGGAGAAGGCUUGGAAGGUGAAGGCCACAGUGGUGCCUGUGGUGAUUGGAGCACUGGGGGCAGUGACCCCCAAAUUGGAGGAAUGGCUACAUUUCAGUCUCAUCUCAGUCCAGAAAAGUGCAGUCCUAGGAACAGCAAGGAUACUGCGCAGAACCCUCAAGCUUCCUGGCCUCUGGUAGAGGACCCGAGCUUGGAAAGUGGAUAAGACCACCCGCGUAGGCAAUUCCUCAACUGGUCCUGAUGACUAAAGUAGAUGAAGUCUGUCCAUUUGUGGCCCAGGACAUAAGGAACAUCUAUAAGAGUGGCUACAUCAAGGAAGUGAUGCAGGAGACCAGUGCUCGGC
Betta splendens (Siamese fighting fish) is the source of this 3262-nucleotide RNA transcript. RefSeq lists it as uncharacterized. Lineage: Eukaryota; Metazoa; Chordata; Actinopteri; Anabantiformes; Osphronemidae. The transcript is spliced from 3 exons. The record is from RefSeq and is a predicted model, not a curated record.